AUGCAGAUAGAUCAUUAUAAUGGUUGCCGGCUAUCAGUUUGGGUUCUUGAGAAUUAUGCUAGUGGCCAGUGGACCUUAAAGCACACUGCCAGCAUUCUGGAGCCGCUAGGAAGGCCUUGUCUAUCUCGACACUUUACCUUGGUUGCAAUCCAUCCAGAACGUAACCUGAUUUUCCUUAAUGGUUGGGUGGAAUCGAAGCAGGCACUUAUGUCGUAUGAUAUGGAUACCCAGAAGCUGCAAGUUAUCUGCACCCUUGAAAAUUACCCCAUGGAAAAUUUAAGACCUCAUGUUCCGUGUUUUGUUGAAUGGCCGCCGUCGGAUGCUCACUGA
This 330-nucleotide ribosomal RNA is filed under the name Triticum aestivum (bread wheat). Its description in RNAcentral is "partial small subunit ribosomal RNA". Lineage: Eukaryota; Viridiplantae; Streptophyta; Magnoliopsida; Poales; Poaceae. The record is from RNAcentral.